Molecule: long non-coding RNA, 679 nt
Organism: Brachypodium distachyon (stiff brome)
Lineage: Eukaryota; Viridiplantae; Streptophyta; Magnoliopsida; Poales; Poaceae
Exons: 3
Source: RefSeq, a predicted model, not a curated record
ACGGUUCUGGAAAUUCAGCCGGGAUGACACUGUUCCCCCUUGAUUUGACGCAUUUCCUAGGCCUGUGCUGCCUCGUCCGGUCCUGUCUCGGGUCCCACUAUCUUGUCCGGUCCUGUCUCAGGUCCCACUCUGCUGUCAGAUACCGUCUUCAUCUCCGGCUUCGUUUGCUUUCCUUCUCUCUGUCCGGCUUCAUCCUGUUCUUCCUCUCUUCUUCCUCUUCCUCAGUUCUUCUUCAGUUCUUCAGUUCUCUUCUACUCUCUUGCCGACUCUGCUCUCCAUCGUUCUGUUCUGGUCGACAUCUGUUAUCUGCACCGCUUCAUCUUUUCUUACGGAGCUUCUAUUUCCGAUCUGUUUCUGGUCAACUUCACAAUGUACCGACCUCGGUUUCUGAACUCCUGAUUUGUACCAACGUUGUUUUCCAGGUCUCAACACUAUCGCCUUCCUCCUAAUAAAUUUCUCCAUUCCAUGAGUCUCUCCAAGCUAAAAGGUCAUGCUGCCACUUCUGAUACUGCUGCUCCACUCAGUAGUGAAGACGUCACACAUUACGACAGCAAUGAAGAAAGUCAAACUUCUUCAAGUACCAAAUCGGCAACAUCGAGGACAUCCGCAAAGACCCUUUACUGGAUCAUCAAGAAAUUCAAUCCUAUAAAGAGACAGUUGGUCAACGAAAUAGGUUUUG